UAUGGCGUUUGAUUGAUGGACGCCCAUUGACCUCGUCUUGGCGGUGCGCGCGUAAUCUGUCCGCCACGCCGGCGGGGAAGGCAGACAGAUCAGUAGGGCCUAACGCGGUCGUUCCUCUCAUUUCCCACUGCUGCGAGGCCCUGCUGACUCGAGCUCUGCCGUGCAUGCGGGCUGGCAGCACGUGGAUGCCCGUGGAGAUGUGUGGCCUUGGACCGUUUACGGAGCCUCUCAUGGCCUGCCUGCCAUAUUCGGAUAUUUGGUGUCUGCAUCCGUCUUAGUUAAGGCACAAAGCUUUGCAGGUCGACUGUCUCCCAUCAGUCAGUAUCAAGUGGCUCCUAACUGAGGCUGACCUGUGUGCCCGGAAGUUAAUUUCAUUGUAACAGGAAGGCAGAUACUCUGACCCACCAUGUCCACACAGGAGACGGAGCCUUCCAGACGUGACUCCACUCUGUUCAUGAGUACCAAUCCAGAACGGAAGCAGACAGAAGAUCACCACCAGAACCGACGACAUGCCAGCAACCCAACAAACUAUGGCAGCCACAGCAACACAGGACCGUGGACCGUGGAUAUGCUUAUCUCUGUGGAUGGACAGACAGAGGGAUAGGCAAACAAACAAACAAACAAACAAACCUUCCAGUAAUAAACUGAUUUCAGUCACAGAAGCGUCAUCGUCUAAAACAAGUCAUAAAUACACUACCCACGUCUGGACACUUUAUCUCUUUUAGGCAUUGAAGCUCCAUUU
Electrophorus electricus (electric eel) is the source of this 742-nucleotide long non-coding RNA. RefSeq lists it as uncharacterized. The record is from RefSeq and is a predicted model, not a curated record. Lineage: Eukaryota; Metazoa; Chordata; Actinopteri; Gymnotiformes; Gymnotidae.